This 445-nucleotide ribosomal RNA is filed under the name uncultured bacterium. RNAcentral describes it as "partial 16S ribosomal RNA". It matches the Rfam family "Bacterial small subunit ribosomal RNA", at positions 354 to 796 of the family's 1533-position model. The record is from RNAcentral.
GUGAGGAAUAUUGGUCAAUGGGCGGGAGCCUGAACCAGCCAAGUCGCGUGAAGGAAGAAGGAUCUAUGGUUCGUAAACUUCUUUUGCAGGGGAAUAAAGUGCAGGACGUGUCCUGUUUUGUAUGUACCCUGAGAAUAAGGAUCGGCUAACUCCGUGCCAGCAGCCGCGGUAAUACGGAGGAUCCGAGCGUUAUCCGGAUUUAUUGGGUUUAAAGGGUGCGUAGGGGGUUUGAUAAGUCAGCGGUGAAAGUUUGCAGCUUAACUGUAAAAAUGCCGUUGAAACUGUCGGACUUGAGUGUAAAUGAGGUAGGCGGAAUGCGUGGUGUAGCAGUGAAAUGCAUAGAUAUCACGCAGAACUCCGAUUGCGAAGGCAGCUUACUAAGCUACAACUGACACUGAAGCACGAAAGCGUGGGGAUCAAACAGGAUUAGAUACCCCUGUAGUCC